Molecule: ribosomal RNA, 264 nt
Filed under: uncultured archaeon
Lineage: Archaea
Description: partial 16S ribosomal RNA
Rfam family: Archaeal small subunit ribosomal RNA
Source: RNAcentral
AGACGUCUACAUUAGAUACCCCUGUAGUCCCAGCCGUAAACGAUGCGCGUUAGGUGUAUCGACGACCACGAGUCGUCGAGGUGCCGAAGGGAAACCGUGAAACGUGCCGCCUGGGAAGUACGGUCGCAAGGCUGAAACUUAAAGGAAUUGGCGGGGAGCACCACAACAGGUGGAGCCUGCGGUUUAAUUGGACUCAACGCCGGAAAUCUCACCGGAUAAGACAGCAGAAUGAUUGCCGGGCUGAAGACUCUGCAUGACUAUCUG